GAUCGGACCUCAGAUCAGACAAGACCACCCGCUGAGUUUAAGCAUAUCACUAAGCGGAGGAAAAGAAAC
This 69-nucleotide ribosomal RNA is filed under the name Leptolejeunea schiffneri. Its description in RNAcentral is "partial 26S ribosomal RNA". It matches the Rfam family "Eukaryotic large subunit ribosomal RNA", at positions 1 to 65 of the family's 3401-position model. The record is from RNAcentral. Lineage: Eukaryota; Viridiplantae; Streptophyta; Jungermanniopsida; Porellales; Lejeuneaceae.